GUGUGAGGUCUAGGGUGGGUUCUAAGGUUUCGGCUCUAGGUUUUGUGUGAGAGAAAAAUACAAGAGUGUCUUGUUCCAAUCUCCCAUACCACCACCUCUUCAUAAAGCUCCAUCUUUUAAUCCAAAAGAGUCUGGAUGAUCUAAAGAAAGAAACUUGAAUCAGCCAUUCAAAGCUUUCAGUGCGAGCUAGCAAUCUCGAGAAGGAUGAUCCGAUCAGGACUUCGAAUGGAUGAUCUGUAGAGGUCAAACGAGCUGUGUGGCUACUCGAUAUCA
This 273-nucleotide long non-coding RNA is filed under the name Elaeis guineensis (African oil palm). RNAcentral describes it as "long non-coding RNA (EGUI_LNC028274)". Lineage: Eukaryota; Viridiplantae; Streptophyta; Magnoliopsida; Arecales; Arecaceae. The record is from RNAcentral.